Long non-coding RNA from Hippoglossus stenolepis (Pacific halibut), 1207 nucleotides. RefSeq lists it as uncharacterized. NCBI's taxonomy places the organism in Eukaryota, Metazoa, Chordata, Actinopteri, Pleuronectiformes, Pleuronectidae. The transcript has 2 exons. The record is from RefSeq and is a predicted model, not a curated record.
GACAUGGAGUUUGGAAUCGACUGGACUGGACCAUGUGGUCACCGUCAACCUGGUGUUGUGAUCCCUGAAGUUCAGCUGCAGCGCUCACUGACUGAACAGGAAGCUGAAAGUCUACCAGACCCCAGUGGCCCUCUGUCCGAUGUUUUGGAUGUCUAUGUCCAAACUGUGAGCUUAUUAUCAGAAAUGCUCCAGUAAAUUCCUGCCUCACAAGCUCCAUGAUGCAGAAUGUCAGGUGGAAGACUUGGGGAAGUUGCUCUCCACCACAUCAACAUCCAAGUGUCUGGGAAGCACACUCCAUCCAACCCAGAACUGCAGGAGUUUCACAAGGAAGUUUGGAGAUGCUACCAAAAACAGAACACUGCUAAGACUAAGGCUAUUGGACAGGUUUUGUUAUACUUUCUACAGAUACAGUUACCUCAUGCAGAACAGCACAAAUGAGACAAAUUUGAAACUCAGUGAUCAUUGAUCCAAAGUGUAUCUAAAUACACUUUUCCCAGUAACAUCUUCAGAGUGCACUGUUGCUAUCAGCAAAUAAUUUGACAGAAAUUGUUGAUUCAGGACAUUUUUUUUAAGUAAUGUAAUGCAAAUAUUAAUUUACCAUUCUCAAUAAAUGUGCGAAGGAAUCCUGUGAUCCUACAGGUGUCCUCCAAAGAGACAUCACUGUCCUCAUCCUCAUCCUGUGUUGGCCACUUUAUGUUGUCCAAGACCAUCUGACAGAUACAUUAUUUUUCAAUCAGUUAACACUUGUUUUUUCAAGCAGUCCAGAGUGUGUAUAUAUAGCACAAUAAAGUACAGUACAGGAAAUAUAAGAAGUUAUUAAUUCUAAUAAUUACAAUUGUUAUUUGAUCAGUAUGUGGUGGUAAGCAGUUUUGGAAGGGCCAUACUGGUGGUUUUGCAUGUGUAAGAUGACCAUGAUGAGUACUUUGCAUUCCUGUUGAGAGUUUUCAAAAUCAUAAUUUUUUUGAUUGAUUUCCUUCCUUUCAGGCAGCCGUUGUUGUUUCUAUGAAAAUUAACUCGAGACUUCAGAACAACUCUCUUUGUGCAGAGCUUGCUUAUCCAAUGAUAAAGUACAUUUGUAAGAGGGAACAAACACGGACUGAUUAUUCAUCUGCAAAAUAUUUCAGAUCUCUCCAGGUUAUUUUUGGUGUAAUAAACUGAAACCAGUGGUUGCCAGAAGGUAGAAAAUAAAACACGUUUAAGAUAGUAA